GGAUAUAGCUCAGUUGGUAAAGUGCUUGCCUAGUAUGCACAAGGUCCUGGGUUCAAUCCCCAGAACCA
This 68-nucleotide transfer RNA is filed under the name Marmota monax (woodchuck). RNAcentral describes it as "tRNA.Thr". The record is from RNAcentral. Lineage: Eukaryota; Metazoa; Chordata; Mammalia; Rodentia; Sciuridae.